GUACACUCCUGCGGGAGGCAGCAGUGGGGAAUUUUGGACAAUGGGCGAAAGCCUGAUCCAGCAAUGCCGCGUGAGUGAAGAAGGCCUUCGGGUUGUAAAGCUCUUUUGUCAGGGAAGAAACGGUGAAAGCUAAUAUCUUUUGCUAAUGACGGUACCUGAAGAAUAAGCACCGGCUAACUACGUGCCAGCAGCCGCGGUAAUACGUAGGGUGCAAGCGUUAAUCGGAAUUACUGGGCGUAAAGCGUGCGCAGGCGGUUUUGUAAGUCUGAUGUGAAAUCCCCGGGCUCAACCUGGGAAUUGCAUUGGAGACUGCAAGGCUAGAAUCUGGCAGAGGGGGGUAGAAUUCCACGUGUAGCAGUGAAAUGCGUAGAUAUGUGGAGGAACACCGAUGGCGAAGGCAGCCCCCUGGGUCAAGAUUGACGCUCAUGCACGAAAGCGUGGGGAGCAAACAGGAUUAGAAACCCGGGUAGUCCCA
This 475-nucleotide ribosomal RNA is filed under the name uncultured organism. RNAcentral describes it as "partial 16S ribosomal RNA". It matches the Rfam family "Bacterial small subunit ribosomal RNA", at positions 331 to 797 of the family's 1533-position model. The record is from RNAcentral.